CUGAUGGCGAGUGGCGAACGGGUGAGUAAUGCAUCGGAACGUGCCCAAUCGUGGGGGAUAACGCAGCGAAAGCUGUGCUAAUACCGCAUACGAUCUAAGGAUGAAAGCGGGGGAUCGCAAGACCUCGCGCGAUUGGAGCGGCCGAUAUCAGAUUAGGUAGUUGGUAGGGUAAAGGCCUACCAAGCCGACGAUCAGUAGCUGGUCUGAGAGGACGAUCAGCCACACUGGAACUGAGACACGGCCCAGACUCC
RNAcentral lists this ribosomal RNA (251 nucleotides) under uncultured bacterium. RNAcentral's name for it is "partial 16S ribosomal RNA". It matches the Rfam family "Bacterial small subunit ribosomal RNA", at positions 85 to 339 of the family's 1533-position model. The record is from RNAcentral.